Molecule: ribosomal RNA, 850 nt
Filed under: uncultured bacterium
Lineage: Bacteria
Description: bacterial SSU rRNA
Rfam family: Bacterial small subunit ribosomal RNA
Source: RNAcentral
GCAGUCGAACGGCAGCACAGGAGAGCUUGCUCUCUGGGUGGCGAGUGGCGGACGGGUGAGGGAUGCAUCGGAAUCUACUCUUUCGUGGGGGAUAACGUAGGGAAACUUACGCUAAUACCGCAUACGACCUACGGGUGAAAGCCGGGGACCUUCGGGCCUGGCGCGAAUGAAUGAGCCGAUGCCCGAUUAGCUAGUUGGCGGGGUAAGAGCCCACCAAGGCGACGAUCGGUAGCUGGUCUGAGAGGAUGAUCAGCCACACUGGAACUGAGACACGGUCCAGACUCCUACGGGGGCAGCAGUGGGGAAUAUUGGACAAUGGGCGCAAGCCUGAUCCAGCCAUACCGCGUGGGUGAAGAAGGCCUUCGGGUUGUAAAGCCCUUUUGUUGGGAAAGAAAUCCAGCUGGCUAAUACCCGGUUGGGAUGACGGUACCCAAAGAAUAAGCACCGGCUAACUUCGUGCCAGCAGCCGCGGUAAUACGAAGGGUGCAAGCGUUACUCGGAAUUACUGGGCGUAAAGCGUGCGUAGGUGGUUAUUUAAGUCCGUUGUGAAAGCCCUGGGCUCAACCUGGGAACUGCAGUGGAUACUGGAUGACUAGAAUGUGGUAGAGGGUAGCGGAAUUCCUGGUGUAGCAGUGAAAUGCGUAGAGAUCAGGAGGAACAUCCAUGGCGAAGGCAGCUACCUGGACCAACAUUGACACUGAGGCACGAAAGCGCGGGGAGCAAACAGGAUUAGAUACCCUGGUAGUCCACGCCCUAAACGAUGCGAACUGGAUGUUGGGUGCAAUUUGGCACGCAGUAUCGAAGCUAACGCGUUAAGUUCGCCGCCUGGGGAGUACGGUCGCAAGACUGA